This 702-nucleotide ribosomal RNA is filed under the name uncultured Sphingobium sp. Its description in RNAcentral is "bacterial SSU rRNA". It matches the Rfam family "Bacterial small subunit ribosomal RNA", at positions 28 to 776 of the family's 1533-position model. The record is from RNAcentral. Lineage: Bacteria; Pseudomonadati; Pseudomonadota; Alphaproteobacteria; Sphingomonadales; Sphingobiaceae.
AACGAACGCUGGCGGCAUGCCUAAUACAUGCAAGUCGAACGAGAUCUUCGGGUCUAGUGGCGCACGGGUGCGUAACGCGUGGGAAUCUGCCCUUGGGUUCGGAAUAACGUCGGGAAACUGACGCUAAUACCGGAUGAUGACGAAAGUCCAAAGAUUUAUCGCCCAGGGAUGAGCCCGCGUAGGAUUAGCUAGUUGGUGAGGUAAAGGCUCACCAAGGCUACGAUCCUUAGCUGGUCUGAGAGGAUGAUCAGCCACACUGGGACUGAGACACGGCCCAGACUCCUACGGGAGGCAGCAGUAGGGAAUAUUGGACAAUGGGGGCAACCCUGAUCCAGCAAUGCCGCGUGAGUGAUGAAGGCCUUAGGGUUGUAAAGCUCUUUUACCCGAGAUGAUAAUGACAGUAUCGGGAGAAUAAGCUCCGGCUAACUCCGUGCCAGCAGCCGCGGUAAUACGGAGGGAGCUAGCGUUGUUCGGAAUUACUGGGCGUAAAGCGCACGUAGGCGGCGAUUUAAGUCAGAGGUGAAAGCCCGGGGCUCAACCCCGGAACUGCCUUUGAGACUGGAUUGCUUGAAUCCUGGAGAGGUGAGUGGAAUUCCGAGUGUAGAGGUGAAAUUCGUAGAUAUUCGGAAGAACACCAGUGGCGAAGGCGGCUCACUGGACAGGUAUUGACGCUGAGGUGCGAAAGCGUGGGGAGCAAACAGG